Dromaius novaehollandiae (emu) is the source of this 1244-nucleotide long non-coding RNA. RefSeq lists it as uncharacterized. The record is from RefSeq and is a predicted model, not a curated record. The transcript is spliced from 2 exons. Lineage: Eukaryota; Metazoa; Chordata; Aves; Casuariiformes; Dromaiidae.
CAGAUGUGGCACCUCCGAGGCAUUGCCCGGGGUGUGGAAGAUGGCUCUACUGCAGCAGGGGCCCUGGGUGACAUUGCACUUUAUCAGCUGUUAUCAGCCCCUUUAAUUACUAACAGCCCUGCCAGCUCCACGGGACUCUGGUGCCAGUGAAGGGGGAGAUGGCAGGCUGAAAGAAGAAAGAGAUGGACUGCUUAAGGAAAUAAUAUCUAAUGAGCCAUGCUGGAAACACCGUCAGAAGUAAAGAGCUGGAUUUGUAGGACUGCAAGAGCAGAGGAGUGCUGGCUGCUUUCUUUUUGCACGCAGAGGUACAUUAUGAUUUUAAAUGAAUCCAGAGCAGCUGAGGCAUUUUUGGACUAAAAGCCAACAUCGCCAUGACCAUCUUAAUCAUCCCCUUGUAAAAUGAGCAGCCAUAUGCGUGAAAUCAAGCCAUACAUUUUAUGGAAUAUCUCUUGUUUGCUGGACAAGUACUUGGACUGAAGUUUAUUUUCUCAGGACUUCAACUCCUGAAAUAUAAACCUUGUAACCUUUCUGUACAUAAAACCAGAAUUUAGAGCAGGGAGGGGGGAAUCCCCCCCACUUUACACAGCGUGGCUUUGCCUCUUGCAUAUCUUUGCACUUGACAAAGUCUGGUGCUAUAAUGGACACUGUAAACAAGGAGUUCUUUACAAUUCUGCAUGAACAGCCCUUGUCAUGCUGGGGAAGAAGGUUUAAACAAAGGUGGCAUGGCUUAUAAUAUUUGUUAGUGAGAUAUCAAAAUAUUUAUGUGCACAGUAUUUCUUCACUAUACUUUUCAAAUGACUGAGGUUAAUCAAAAGGAGCCUGUUCCUUCUCUUAAACAAAAUCUCGUCCCAAGAUGCCUGUUCCUCAGUCCCCAGAAAGAAAUAUCAUAUUUCCUUGCUGGUUGUUUCUCAGCUAACUGAUUCAAUAUUAGAGGCAAUGUAACACUGUUUUAAGAUUUCUCAGGGCUGGAGAGUUCCUCUUUGACCCUACCUCUCUCGGGCUGUAGUCCUGCAACAUUUUAUGCAUGCGUUCAGCCAUCUGCAGCAAAGUGAUUCCUCCAGCCUCAGCACGACUGUUCAUGUGCAUCAUUACACACAUGCAUGAGUCUCUGCAGGACUGUGGCCUGAUUGUACUUCAUGUUGAAUCAUAUCCUGUAAUAUAUCAUAUUGUCACUGGUUUAUAUGGCAUGAGUUCCUUAACCUACCUGAGUAAACUGUUAGAAACAUGACAAUGCAUAAAGGCCA